This 741-nucleotide long non-coding RNA is filed under the name Rattus norvegicus (Norway rat). RNAcentral's name for it is "long non-coding RNA NONRATT028608". The record is from RNAcentral. Lineage: Eukaryota; Metazoa; Chordata; Mammalia; Rodentia; Muridae.
GGGUGAGUACCCUGUGUUGACCCCUUGUUUCUGCUCAUACAUACCCCCUUCAGAGCCCAGAGCUGACCCUGAGCCAGAAGGUCAAGGCCAAACUGCAGAACCCAGACCUGCUGGAACUGUGUCACUUGGUGCCCAAGGAAGUGGUUCAGCUGGGGGGCAAAGGCUAUGGGCCAGAGCGUGGAGAGGAAGAUUUUGCUGCCUUUCGAGCCUGGCUUCGGUGCUAUGCUGUGCCAGGCAUGAGCUCCCUGAGAGACCGGCAUGGCCGUACCAUUUGGUUCCAGGGUGAUCCUGGACCCUUGGCACCCAAAGGUAAGUAGCUCAUAAUGUAAGAGAUAAAGAGCUGAGAAAACCAUGGGCCUUGGAUACUCAUUCUCCCAUCCCUCUCCAACCGUGGGAUCACCCAGCAGUAAUAGUCUGAGGGGCUGAAGCCCUAGGGCUCGCUAGCUCCAGUAGAACAUUCUACAGGGGGCAGAUCCCGAAAAAAGAAGUCACAGGAAACACAGCUGGAGGCUGAGGACAGAAAAGAGGACCCUCCAAGCAAGUCCAUUUCCAGGACUCAGAGGGCCAGGAAGCACUGUCCUAAGAAUGUACCUCAACAGUCUGAAGGGGCCAGCCUCCCACAAAACCUGGAAACCCCUGCAGUCCCUGAGAAAGGAAAGAGAAGGGGGAGACGGGCGAGCACAGGUGAGCUGUUUGCAGCAUCCUCCUUGAGCUGGGAAGAAAGAGCCAGGGAGUGGCUCA